AUUGAACGCUGGCGGCAUGCCUUACACAUGCAAGUCGAACGGUAACAGGUCUUCGGACGCUGACGAGUGGCGAACGGGUGAGUAAUGCAUCGGAACGUGCCCAGUCGUGGGGGAUAACUGCUCGAAAGAGCGGCUAAUACCGCAUACGACCUGAGGGUGAAAGCGGGGGACCGUAAGGCCUCGCGCGAUUGGAGCGGCCGAUGUCAGAUUAGCUAGUUGGUGGGGUAAAGGCCUACCAAGGCAACGAUCUGUAGUUGGUCUGAGAGGACGACCAGCCACACUGGGACUGAGACACGGCCCAGACUCCUACGGGAGGCAGCAGUGGGGAAUUUUGGACAAUGGGCGCAAGCCUGAUCCAGCAAUGCCGCGUGCAGGAAGAAGGCCUUCGGGUUGUAAACUGCUUUUGUCAGGGAAGAAAUCUUCUGGGCUAAUACCCCGGGAGGAUGACGGUACCUGAAGAAUAAGCACCGGCUAACUACGUG
RNAcentral lists this ribosomal RNA (482 nucleotides) under uncultured bacterium. Its description in RNAcentral is "partial 16S ribosomal RNA". It matches the Rfam family "Bacterial small subunit ribosomal RNA", at positions 30 to 507 of the family's 1533-position model. The record is from RNAcentral.